This 462-nucleotide ribosomal RNA is filed under the name Salmonella enterica subsp. enterica serovar Goldcoast. Its description in RNAcentral is "partial 23S ribosomal RNA". It matches the Rfam family "Bacterial large subunit ribosomal RNA", at positions 58 to 559 of the family's 2925-position model. Lineage: Bacteria; Pseudomonadati; Pseudomonadota; Gammaproteobacteria; Enterobacterales; Enterobacteriaceae. RNAcentral also lists the same sequence under 1 other name. The record is from RNAcentral.
GUGCUAAUCUGCGAUAAGCGCCGGUAAGGUGAUAUGAACCGUUAUAACCGGCGAUUUCCGAAUGGGGAAACCCAGUGUGACUCGUCACACUAUCAUUAACUGAAUCCAUAGGUUAAUGAGGCGAACCGGGGGAACUGAAACAUCUAAGUACCCCGAGGAAAAGAAAUCAACCGAGAUUCCCCCAGUAGCGGCGAGCGAACGGGGAGGAGCCCAGAGCCUGAAUCAGCAUGUGUGUUAGUGGAAGCGUCUGGAAAGGCGCGCGAUACAGGGUGACAGCCCCGUACACAAAAGCGCAUGUGCUGUGAGCUCGAUGAGUAGGGCGGGACACGUGGUAUCCUGUCUGAAUAUGGGGGGACCAUCCUCCAAGGCUAAAUACUCCUGACUGACCGAUAGUGAACCAGUACCGUGAGGGAAAGGCGAAAAGAACCCCGGCGAGGGGAGUGAAAAAGAACCUGAAACCGU